Molecule: non-coding RNA, 1753 nt
Organism: Hydra vulgaris (swiftwater hydra)
Lineage: Eukaryota; Metazoa; Cnidaria; Hydrozoa; Anthoathecata; Hydridae
Source: RefSeq, a predicted model, not a curated record
AAAAAAUAGGAGUUAAUAGUUGUUGAAUUAGAAUUCAGAGACAAAAAAAUGAAGGGCAAUUUUUUGUGGAAUUUUGAAUGUUACUCUUUUCUUGGCUUUAAGAAUUUAGCUUUUCUUGGUAAAACAAUGCACGUGAAUGGGAAAGAAAAUGGAAACUUUCUGGCUGGUAUGAAGUUUAUAGAUUGCCACAACCCCAUCCUUACAUUCCAUUGGAAAAUAUGAGACGCUAUCUCCAGGAGGACUCUAAAAUGAGUGCUCUUACUUUUCAUGAGUUCAUCAGAGAAUAUGGUGGUGUCAUAUAUCCGAAGAGUAGCUGUUAAAGAAAUCCAGGAUGGUAUCUACUUCACAAUCAUAGUUGAUGGUACCCCUAAUAUAUCUCACACUGAGCAGAAAAACUUUAUUAUUCCUUUUUUAUUCUAUGAAACUUUGAAAAGUUAAACUAAUUGCUGGAGAAUUAAAAAAAGACUCUUGUGUAAUGAAGCUUUUGAGAUGAAUAAAGAAUAUAUUUCACACUGAGCAGAAAAACUUUAUUAUUCCUUUUUUAUUCUAUGAAACUUUGAAAGGUUAAACUAAUUGCUGAAAAAUUAAAAAACGAUUCUUGUGUAAUGAAGCUUUCGAGAUGAAUAAAGAAAUUGAUGUAGUUAAUGAUGAGUUCUUUGGGAAUGUUGAAUCUUGGUACGUAUUUUUGAGUGGGACCGCAGGAAGAUCAUCACUAAAGCGACAAGCAUUUUACUGCAUAGACUUUCUAUGAUAGGAUGGAGCUCUCGUACGGAGUUGAUCAAACCACUUACUAAGAAGCCAAGAGAAAUAUUAGCAGCUCUUAAACAUUCUAUGGAAAAUCUGGAUCUGACUAGUGAGCAGCCAGACAAGAAACUUAAAAAAAUGAUUACCAAAUUUUUGAAUUUUUAUUGCUAGUUACGUUUUAGUACAAAACCCUACUGUUGUUAACGAUGUUAGUAGUUUUCUACAAUCUGAAGCCAUUACCACUGAUGAGGAACUAUGUUUGAUUGGACAACUGCUGGAAGAUCUUAAACGGAUUAGGGGCUCUUGGUUACAAAUUUUCCAUGAGGCUGUAGCUGGACCGCUAGGGUUGAAAAAUAAACUCGUUAUUAAAAGAAAGCUUAACCUAAGCGCUUUGACAAUAAGGCAUCAAACACAGUCCACGAUAGCCAAACAAAAGACUUCAAAGCAAACGUUUUUAAUGUUAAUUUAGAUCUAAUCCAGCAAACUGAUAAAAGAUUUAAUGCGAGCAGAAAGAUUGCCAAAAUGUUCUCAAUCGUCUGGUUCAAUAAUGAUGAUCUUCCCGUUUAAAAGCUUGAAAACUUGCACGGCUUUAUACGAGUGAUGUGAACAAAGACAAUCUCCAAUCUCAUUGAAGAAGUUUGUCAUUUUAAAAAUGACCGCAAAAACAAUUUUCAAGUAAGGAAAUCCAAUGCACUCAAUCAAAAUUUUGAGAAGAAGCUUGAACGCUGUUUUCCAUGCAUCAUGCUCCGGAUUUUUAACACUAUUCGUGAAUCAGUUGCUGAGUGUGAAAAAUCAUUUUCUCCGUUCGACCAUGGGCCAGGAUGGCGCUAAUGAUACUUGAUUAUUUCGAUUGAAGAAGAUUUGGCUAAAAAGGUGAACUACAAUGAUGUCAUCAAUAUUUGGGCGGCCAGAAAAGCUAAAAAAGUUCAUUUUUAAGCGCCUUAUUAAACUUUCUAAAAGGUUUUGUUGAUUUUUUUGUUCUAUUAGUUUUAAAACUAACGUUUUGAUU